GAACGCUGGCGGCGUGCCUAAUACAUGCAAGUAGAACGCUGAAGGAGGAGCUUGCUUCUCUGGAUGAGUUGCGAACGGGUGAGUAACGCGUAGGUAACCUGCCUGGUAGCGGGGGAUAACUAUUGGAAACGAUAGCUAAUACCGCAUAAGAGUAGAUGUUGCAUGACAUUUGCUUAAAAGGUGCAAUUGCAUCACUACCAGAUGGACCUGCGUUGUAUUAGCUAGUUGGUGGGGUAACGGCUCACCAAGGCGACGAUACAUAGCCGACCUGAGAGGGUGAUCGGCCACACUGGGACUGAGACACGGCCCAGACUCCUACGGGAGGCAGCAGUAGGGAAUCUUCGGCAAUGGACGGAAGUCUGACCGAGCAACGCCGCGUGAGUGAAGAAGGUUUUCGGAUCGUAAAGCUCUGUUGUAAGAGAAGAACGAGUGUGAGAGUGGAAAGUUCACACUGUGACGGUAUCUUACCAGAAAGGGACGGCUAACUACGUGCCAGCAGCCGCGGUAAUACGUAGGUCCCGAGCGUUGUCCGGAUUUAUUGGGCGUAAAGCGAGCGCAGGCGGUUUGAUAAGUCUGAAGUUAAAGGCUGUGGCUCAACCAUAGUUCGCUUUGGAAACUCUCAAACUUGAGUGCAGAAGGGGAGAGUGGAAUUCCAUGUGUAGCGGUGAAAUGCGUAGAUAUAUGGAGGAACACCGGUGGCGAAAGCGGCCCUCUGGUCUGUAACUGACGCUGAGGCUCGAAAGCGUGGGGAGCGAACAGGAUUAGAUACCCUGGUAGUCCACGCCGUAAACGAUGAGUGCUAGGUGUUGGAUCCUUUCCGGGAUUCAGUGCCG
This 833-nucleotide ribosomal RNA is filed under the name uncultured Streptococcus sp. Its description in RNAcentral is "bacterial SSU rRNA". It matches the Rfam family "Bacterial small subunit ribosomal RNA", at positions 31 to 848 of the family's 1533-position model. Lineage: Bacteria; Bacillati; Bacillota; Bacilli; Lactobacillales; Streptococcaceae. The record is from RNAcentral.